Molecule: non-coding RNA, 225 nt
Organism: Bactrocera oleae (olive fruit fly)
Lineage: Eukaryota; Metazoa; Arthropoda; Insecta; Diptera; Tephritidae
Source: RefSeq, a predicted model, not a curated record
CCACUGCUGGUUGGUGUGUUAGUUACAGAGGAACAUAGCCGCACUCAAUGGCAGAUAGUGUUCAUCAUAUCUUCGGUCAUUUUCUUCUCCGGUAAUUUGUUCUACCUAGUCUUCGGCAGAAUGGAACUACAGCCUUGGGACAAUCCGGAUUUCUUGCGGUCUAAAAGCGUGAUUGACGUCAAACCACCAGCGGAAAAGAGUGAGAAGUCGGUGAUGCAGCAAAAA